This 410-nucleotide ribosomal RNA is filed under the name Paraleptuca crassipes. Its description in RNAcentral is "partial 16S large subunit ribosomal RNA". It matches the Rfam family "Bacterial large subunit ribosomal RNA", at positions 1916 to 2597 of the family's 2925-position model. The record is from RNAcentral. Lineage: Eukaryota; Metazoa; Arthropoda; Malacostraca; Decapoda; Ocypodidae.
AGUUUUUAAAGGGCCGCGGUAAUCUGACCGUGCAAAGGUAGCAUAAUCGUUAGUUUUUUAAUUGGAAUCUUGUAUGAAUGGUUGAACAAGAGAAUGUCUGUCUCUGAAUAUUUUUCUUGAAUUUAACUUUUAAGUGAAAAGGCUUAAAUGUUUUAAAAAGACGAUAAGACCCUGUAAAGCAUUUUGUUGGGGCGACAAUGAUAAAAUGUUUAACUGUUUAUAUUGUAAGACAAAUAUAAGUGUAAUGAUCCUUAGUUUAAGAUUAAAAGUUUAAGUUACUUCAGGGAUAACAGCGUUAUUUUUUUUGAGAGUUCAUAUCGAAAGAAGAUUUUGCGACCUCGAUGUUGAAUUAAAAUUUCUAUAUAAUUGCAGAAGUUAUAUUAGAGGGUCUGUUCGACCUUUAAAUUUUU